This is a long non-coding RNA of Ictalurus punctatus (channel catfish), 729 nucleotides long. The record is from Ensembl. NCBI's taxonomy places the organism in Eukaryota, Metazoa, Chordata, Actinopteri, Siluriformes, Ictaluridae.
UUUCAGUUUUCUUUCAUGACAAUACAUCCAAACUCUCAUCCAUCGAUCCAGCCAUCCAUCUGAAGCAAAAGCUGUGUGUGUGUGCUUGCUGGUUAACAUCUGAAUGCAGAGGAAAUAUAAAUUGCUUACAACCUGAUGUCUUGAUGCCCUGGAAAGAACAGCACCUCUCUUCAGCAAGCUUGGACAGCUGAAUAACAUUCUACAAUGUCCUAACACUAUCCACACCAUUCAUACAUGUCUGUCAAGUCAAUUAUUAUGAAGGAGCAGUAUACAGAAUGAGCUGUAAUACAUUAUGUAUCUUUGUUUUAGUCAGAAAUAGGACUAAGGCCAGUUUUCAGAUUGUGACACAAACUGCCAUAUGGACAUCAUUGUACCUGGUUGGUGGAAAGUAAAACAUGUUUUAACCCUUUCAGGCAGUACACUGAUGUUACAUUCCACCAGCAGAAUGGAAAUCAACUUAUCCGACAUUUUCAAUCAGUAUAAACAAAUGAAUUAUUUUAUCGCUACAAGUCUGUUAUAAUAUUAGUCAGGGCACUCUUGGGUUUCAGUGUGUAGAGUAUCAUGACUCUGUGUUUAGCUGCUGGGGAGCAGGGUGGUAGCAAAGGGGAGAAGUGUGAGCCCCCUGCUAGGUAAACAAUUCAUACCUCUCCACAAUAACAUUGUUACAGAGAUCAAAUGGACAGCACAACUAUAGCUUUUUUCGAGUUAAAUACUGUAUACAACUGCCAC